Long non-coding RNA from Tupaia belangeri chinensis (Chinese tree shrew), 1176 nucleotides. RefSeq lists it as uncharacterized. Lineage: Eukaryota; Metazoa; Chordata; Mammalia; Scandentia; Tupaiidae. The transcript is spliced from 3 exons. The record is from RefSeq and is a predicted model, not a curated record.
CUGCCAUCUAACCCUGGAAGCCCAGGACGGUGCUGGGCUCACCCACCAGGGUUCCAGGCCUGAGAACAGCCCUGAGAGAUCCCGACAGGUGGCAGGAGCAGCUGGCUGCACUGGGGUGAGUGGGGUCAGAGUCCUCACUGCCUCAGGCUCAGGGUUAGCCCCAAGUGUUUUUUUUCCAGAUAAAAUUUGAUAUAGUUGUCAUCAUCUUACUCUCUCUACAUCCAAAGCCCCUCAGCGUUUGUUUGGGCCAGAGCUGGGGGGAACAGACAUUCUUACAGCACUGGAGUUCCCCCUCCAGAACUAGGGAUAACUUGGCUUAAGGGAACUGGCAUCUUUUCAGCAGCUCCUGGCUCAGGUGCACAACCAGCACACUGAGCGCACGUGUUCGGGGCUUCUCUAGGAACUGGGGUCUGCCCUCUCUUGUCCUCCCCACCACCCUGCUGCCGUGCAGCCGUGUUGCCUACGCAUGCCCAAUUCCCUGAUGUAGACUGAGGCCCUGGGAGAAGGAGUCUGCGGGUGUGGCCAGAACCUCACAGGCCUGAAGCAGGUGUCUCUGCCGCAUCUCUUAGCCAGCCGGGGAGGCUCCUCCGGGCGACUCAUAAACCGCGGCAGAACACCUUGGUCAGCUUUAGACACUCCUGAGCUGCGGCUUUCCCUAACAUCCUGCUGCUAAUGUUCCUCUUUUAUGGUGUUUUAAAGCCAAUUUUCAAAUGUGUGUCAUAAAACCGCUCUGUACAGGAAGUCCUCUCAGUGAUCUGCAGGACAUAAACUUUAAAGGCAAGAUGGAGGUGUGUGGGAUGUCCUGGCGUGCUUUCAUACUUUGCUCAUCUGCAAACAUGUUAGCAAACCAUUAUGGAACAGAAAUCUACCAGAGUCACACCCCAAGGACCCGCAGGGUUUGCGAUGUGAGAGGCACGGGAGACUCAGCUGGGCCGCGUCUGGGAAGGGCUUGCUACCGUUUAAAACAGCCUGGAGACGAACAGGAGAACAGCAGCCGGGCAGCCUUGUUCCGUCUGUGAAGACCUUGCAGUCUGGAAAACGCUUUACUUGGUACCUACAUGUUUCCAUGCCAGCCUCGAACUUUCAGUCUCCUGAAGCAGUCUCCAGAGUAGCUGGGACCACAGGAGUAGCAACCAUCCUGGGCACAUGUGCUCACCAUGGAAGACGGAAUGAGAC